UACGUAGGGCGCAAGCGUUGUCCGGAAUUAUUGGGCGUAAAGCGUCCGUAGGUGGUUUAGUAAGUCUGCUGUUAAAGCGCGGGGCUUAACUCCGUAUCGGCAGUGGAAACUACUAGACUAGAGUGUGGUAGGGGUAGAGGGAAUUCCCAGUGUAGCGGUGAAAUGCGUAGAUAUCGGGAGGAACACCAAUGGCGAAGGCAGCUCGCUGGGACGUUACUGACGCUGAGACGCGAAAGCGUGGGGAGCAAACAGG
This 253-nucleotide ribosomal RNA is filed under the name uncultured bacterium. Its description in RNAcentral is "partial 16S ribosomal RNA". It matches the Rfam family "Bacterial small subunit ribosomal RNA", at positions 524 to 776 of the family's 1533-position model. The record is from RNAcentral.